This 442-nucleotide ribosomal RNA is filed under the name uncultured bacterium. RNAcentral describes it as "bacterial LSU rRNA". It matches the Rfam family "Bacterial large subunit ribosomal RNA", at positions 18 to 532 of the family's 2925-position model. The record is from RNAcentral.
CAUUUGGUGGAUGCCUUGGCGACAAGAGGCGAAGAAGGACGUGGCACGCUGCGAUAAGCUGUGGGGAGGGGUGAGCACCCGUUGAUCCGCAGAUCUCCGAAUGGGGCAACCCGGCCGCAAGGUCAUCCCGCAAGGGAAGCGAACGAGGGGAACUGAAACAUCUCAGUACCCCUUAGGAAAGGACAUCAACAGAGACUCCGUCAGUAGUGGCGAGCGAAAGCGGAUGAGGCCAGUGGCCUCAGGCUAAGAACCGGAACGGUCUGGAAAGGCCGGCCAGAGCGGGUGAUAGCCCCGUACGGGUAGAAAGGUCUGAGGUCCUUGAGUAGGGCGGGGCACGUGAAACCCUGUCCGAACAUGGGGGACCACCCUCCAAGCCUAAGUACUCCUUGUCGACCGAUAGCGAACAAGUACCGUGAGGGAAAGGUGAAAAGCACCCCGACGA